AGUGAACGCUGGCGGUAGGCCUAACACAUGCAAGUCGAACGGCAGCACAGUAAGAGCUUGCUCUUACGGGUGGCGAGUGGCGGACGGGUGAGGAAUACAUCGGAAUCUACUUUUUCGUGGGGGAUAACGUAGGGAAACUUACGCUAAUACCGCAUACGACCUACGGGUGAAAGCAGGGGAUCUUCGGACCUUGCGCGAUUGAAUGAGCCGAUGUCGGAUUAGCUAGUUGGCGGGGUAAAGGCCCACCAAGGCGACGAUCCGUAGCUGGUCUGAGAGGAUGAUCAGCCACACUGGAACUGAGACACGGUCCAGACUCCUACGGGAGGCAGCAGUGGGGAAUAUUGGACAAUGGGCGCAAGCCUGAUCCCGCCAUACCGCGUGGGUGAAGAAGGCCUUCGGGUUGUAAAGCCCUUUUGUUGGGAAAGAAAAGCAGCAGGUUAAUACCCCGCUGUUCUGACGGUACCCAAAGAAUAAACACCGGCUAACUUCGUG
RNAcentral lists this ribosomal RNA (492 nucleotides) under uncultured bacterium. RNAcentral's name for it is "partial 16S ribosomal RNA". It matches the Rfam family "Bacterial small subunit ribosomal RNA", at positions 29 to 507 of the family's 1533-position model. The record is from RNAcentral.